AACCCAUGAUUAGGACAUUUCCUGAAUAAAGCCUUCUCUCUCCCAAGCAUCAUACAAGCUCACGCCUUCACGCUGAACGAAGUUGAAGAUCCCAUUUCGAAU
Molecule: non-coding RNA, 102 nt
Organism: Triticum aestivum (bread wheat)
Lineage: Eukaryota; Viridiplantae; Streptophyta; Magnoliopsida; Poales; Poaceae
Source: Rfam